RNAcentral lists this long non-coding RNA (800 nucleotides) under Rattus norvegicus (Norway rat). RNAcentral's name for it is "long non-coding RNA NONRATT000133". Lineage: Eukaryota; Metazoa; Chordata; Mammalia; Rodentia; Muridae. The record is from RNAcentral.
GCAGAUCAAAAUCUCUCCUCCCCCUUCCUGGUACGGCUCUCACUGUAGGACAGUGUACUGAGAGAAGGAAUGGCUCCUGCCAGCUUCUAGGGAAACUGCACACACAGGGCACCAAGCCCGCAGUGGAAUAUGCCACACCCAGGAUAGCAGUCAACCUCUGCUUGCUUCUGCAGACUCAGACUCGGCAGAUAGACUUCUGAUUUGGUGACAUUUUCCUGCUUGUUUGUUUGUUUGUUUUUUGUUUUUUCCCUGAUUAGCUAAUGCUGUCUAGACACCAAUAAAUAUGCCUUUCUACGAUGCUUAUAUUUCCUGAUGUAGCGUAUCUAUCCCUGAGCAAACACCCACAGGGUACCAAGACACUGGGUAGCCAUGCUGCCCCAGCAACAAAAUCUCUGCUUCAUGUCUAGUUUCACAGGAGCAGUGAUGAACCUGCAGAAUUAACACAUCUACCUGAAAUGCCCUGCCUUGCUCUGGGAUCUGGGCAUGAAGAUACGGUCCCACAGAGAACGUGCAUGGAUCCCAUUGUAAAAUACACAGAGGAGGGGAAGGCAGAGGAGGGAUCAACGUCUCCACUGCAAUGUUGUCAGGACUAUAGUGACAACAUGAGGCUCGAUGACAGUCUCUGCCCUGUGCCAGUCACUUCUAGGGAAAGAGUCAACAGUGCUCAUUAAAGUAAAAAUUAAAAAAAAUAAUAGUAAAUAAUAAAAAUAGUCAACAGUGUUUCUUAAAAUCAAAACAAAACAAAAUAUAGUAAAAAAGAUAAAAACAAAAAUAAUUAGUAAAAUAAAAAUAAAUAAAAU